Molecule: transfer RNA, 68 nt
Filed under: Orussus occidentalis
Lineage: Eukaryota; Metazoa; Arthropoda; Insecta; Hymenoptera; Orussidae
Description: tRNA-Leu
Source: RNAcentral
UCUAAUAUGACAGAUAAGUGUAAAGGAUUUAAGACCCUUAAAUAAAGAAUUUGAUUCUUUUAUUAGAA